GUGGCCAGUUCGGCACCGUUUGUAAGGGUAGGUAGUCACAGGUUCCCCACGUUAACAAAAAAAAAAAUAACGGCUUUGGUUUUAAAUCAUUCGUAUUACUAUGCCAACACGUACAUUUGGAGGUAGUUGGUUUAAAUAAAUUAUAAUACUCCUUAAUAAUGUCCGACUCUCUGAAAAUAAAAAGUCACCCACUCAUCUCCGUUACUUUGGUCUCUAUAAUUUAUUCCUCGAAAACAGAAUGAAUAUUAAUUAAAAAUCUUAAAUUUUUUACGAACAGGCGGAAGCCACAUGUUAGGAUCAUUUCAACGAGGCCUUUGCCGAUGCGUGUGACAUUUUAGUUUCCAUUCUUUUUGUGUAUAUAUAUGAAUAUAAAUGUCAUAUAUUUAUGUGUACAUAAUGCUGGUGUGAAAGCAGGACAAAUUAAGCGAGGCGGUGGAAGAGGCGAGUAGGAAAAUAGAGGAGAUGCGAUUAGAGGGUAAAGAGGAGGUAGGAAAAGCUUAGGAAACCAAAGAUUCCACUGCAUAAAGGUAUAAAAGGAGGAGAUGUGAGAAACAAAAAACUCUGUCUUCGCCGAUACGAUGCUCCGGCGAUUCCGUCGCCGGCAAAAGGAGGAAGAAGAAGUGGUAAUUCCUCGAGCUUGUCCGAUCUGGACGGCAAGAAUCAACAAGCUUUUUUUUGUCAUGAAUCAGCAAGGUAACUUACACAAGAAUUACACUGAUGCAAGAAUCAGGUAGAGAAAUGGCAACUUGAAUUCUUGUGCAUUCUCAUUUCUGUAUGUGUGGAGGAGGAUUAACAGUGCAGAAAUAGGUAGCUGAUCAGAAAACCUUCUUUCA
Molecule: long non-coding RNA, 833 nt
Organism: Tarenaya hassleriana
Lineage: Eukaryota; Viridiplantae; Streptophyta; Magnoliopsida; Brassicales; Cleomaceae
Exons: 2
Source: RefSeq, a predicted model, not a curated record